GCUUCUGCCCAGUCUGGUUCUUCGGGGUGGCCCCAACUCGGAUGCAUCUAGCUCCUUCCCGAUCUCCACGCCAACUCAGACCGAGGUCUAUGGGACAGAACCUGAGUGGGUAUUUUCGGGUUUGUUUGAUUUUCUUCACUUGGAUGCAUAGUUUCACUGUACAGCGAGCAGACUGGCUUUCAAUUCCCUGAGCUGCUCCUGCCUCGGCCCCCUGAAAGCGGAACUCACAGAUGAGCGUCACCACGCGGGAACCUACUUGCUGUUUUGAAGGUGUGACACAGUGAUUUAGUUCCUUACCCCGUUCUGCUGCGACGUCCUCAUUCUAAAUGGGUCAGCAGUCUGAAAAGGACACGGCUGUUGAGGGGCACAACCCCGACCCCAGCUCAGAUCCCUAAACUAUCCAAGAUGACACGAAGGCUUGGAGGACACUCACUAAUGAUUCUAAUCUCCGGAGGGUGCUAGGGACUUCACCUGCGGCCGUGGACCAUCUCUUCGGGUAGUGUGCGUGCACUGUAAGAGUUGUGCACUUUGCCCAACCCUCCUCUGCCGCAUUUGAAACUACUUUGGGUACAUUCUGCUGCUACUUUUUCUGUGAGAAGGCUUCCCGCUGCUGUUGAAAAAAGUAAAAAAGAAGGAAAGUAGGAGGGAUCAGGUUUUCAUUUCGAGGUUCUGAACGUUCUAUUUGACCCUAUCUUCUCUGGGAAUCGUGAAAAGGUGACUCGUUCUGUAACAUAGGUGGCAAGGAAAAGGGGCCUUCGGAUCAGAAUGCAGAACUCUAAGCCCAUCCUCCAGCACCAAGUCUGCCCGGAUUCGGCUAUUCUCCAUGACAAUAAUGGAUUAAACCUCUGAAAGUGUAAGCCAGACCCAAUGAGAUGCUUUCCUUUUGAAGAGCUGCGGAAUGGUGUCUCUUCAUGGCAAUAAAACCCCUGAG
This 931-nucleotide long non-coding RNA is filed under the name Mus caroli (Ryukyu mouse). Its description in RNAcentral is "lncRNA (MGP_CAROLIEiJ_G0004840.1)". Lineage: Eukaryota; Metazoa; Chordata; Mammalia; Rodentia; Muridae. The record is from RNAcentral.